This 800-nucleotide ribosomal RNA is filed under the name Isochilus sp. Szlachetko s.n. RNAcentral describes it as "eukaryotic LSU rRNA". The stretch from base 332 to 487 matches the Rfam family "5.8S ribosomal RNA". The record is from RNAcentral. Lineage: Eukaryota; Viridiplantae; Streptophyta; Magnoliopsida; Asparagales; Orchidaceae.
GCGAGAAGUCCAUUGAACCUUAUCAUUUAGAGGAAGGAGAAGUCGUAACAAGGUUUCCGUAGGUGAACCUGCGGAAGGAUCAUUGUCGAGACCGAAAAACAUCGAGCGAUUCGGAGAACCCGUGAACGAGCGACGGCGGCCGUCGUCGCGGAACAGCCGUCCCGGUCGCGGCCUCGUCUCCCCGUCGUGGNGGGUGGGGGGGCGGACCACGGCGAAGGGCGGUUGAAAACUCAAACCGGCGCAGCCACGCGCCAAGGGAAUAUCGAAUGACACGAGCCCUGCAUCGGGUUUCGUGGCGUGGGGUGCUGUUGCACGCCAUAUGGAUCGACACGACUCUCGGCAAUGGAUAUCUCGGCUCUCGCAUCGAUGAAGAGCGCAGCGAAAUGCGAUACGUGGUGCGAAUUGCAGAAUCCCGCGAACCAUCGAGAAUUUGAACGCAAGUUGCGCCCGAGGCCAGCCGGCCAAGGGCACGUCCGCCUGGGCGUCAAGCGUUGCGUCGCUCCGUGCCAGCUCCGUCCCACCCCACGGGUGUGUCGGCCGAGGCCCGGACGUGCAGAGUGGCCCGUCGUGCCCGUCGGUGCGGCGGGCUGAAGAGUGGGUCGUCAUCUCAUCACCGGCCGCGAGCAACUAGGGGUGGAUGCCAUGCAAAGCUGUGCCUACGUUGUGCUUCGCGAUGGCCUGAGAAUAGAUUGCACCCUCCCGGCGAUCCCGACCCAUGCGCCGAUCCGAACCGGCGGCGGCUUGGAAUGCGACCCCAGGACGGGCGAGGCCACCCGCCGAGUUUAAGCAUAUCAAUAAGC